AAAGCAGUCGACACACUCGACUGUCAGAUCCAACAUGGCGGCCGUAAUCGCACGAGAGUGAAACCCUUCGGAUGAAAAUGCCCCCGACUGGUCGUCAAUCGUUGUCCCGCGGGUAACCAGUUACGAAGUGCGUAGGUACACAACGAGUGACUCCCAUUCCGCUAAAGGAACUCGAAACUCACGGCGAAUGGAAAAUAUUCCCGCCGCCCACGAUCGCUUCGUGAGAACUGGCAUGGUCGAAUAUCUCAUUGAAAACGACGACGACGAAUUCCAGGAUAUAUAACACAGUGGAUGUAAAUGUGAGACUGGCAGCUGAUUGUUAUACGCAAUUGUAUACGACACGCGAGACAUUGUAAUUAUGAAUUGACAAAAAAUUGGCAAUUUAACGAAAGUAAGUAUGGACAAUAAUUACGUUAAUUAAUCAGAGUCUCGGCGAUAUCCACGCGUAAGUAUAACGAGUAGGCCAAGAUGGCGACCGGAAGUGAUAAAAAAAAUCUAGAUAAUAGUAACAUUUAAGUUAGUACAUUUCUAGAAGGUUCGCGUUGUGGAUAAUAAGUAUAGUCGUUUUUAUCUUGGCAAUAGUGAUCGCAUUGAAAUUACCGACAAUAAAGUCCAUGCUUCUGUACGUUGGCGUGAAUGCUAAUUUACGAUGGGUAAUAAUCAAUUCGACGUGGGUGUGCUAAUUGCAAUUUAUUACCAGAUAUUAAUUACGGAGUUUCAAGGAGAGUCUCAAGGAUAUUAAAAGUAUCGCUGCUAGUAGCGGAUACAGCUUGGGGCUUAUUUUCACGAACUACUUUCUUCAUCGAUAGUCAUGAAAUCAUGUCUGAGCAAGUUCAGUCUGCCACGGACUACGCAAAUAUCCUGGACUGGCUACGCCUUUGUUUGACGUAUUUGGCUAGAAGCUGAGUGGACAGUACACAGCAGCCAAGACACCAUAACGGUCGCUUGGGUAUAACGGCAGUGAAAUAAAGCGCGGCUGACAUUUUUCAAUAAGUUCUAUCAAGAAUGCGCGUAAAGGAGUCACAGUUAAAAAAUAUCGCCAUCUAGCUGCAAGAUAAUAAACCAUUAUUGGCUAGAGGCUCGAUGACAACAGGAACGAAGGAAACGCUUGCGAGGGAUUGUUUGAAAUUUAUUACUUGGCAAAGAGCACGUAUGUACAUAUGUACGAGCAUGUACGACGUAUGUACUAUCCUUUGUAUUUUACGGUAUCCAUUUUAAAAUCAUACAAUACGCGCACGAGAUUUACAUGACAAAUAUGGUUGAAGGAUAUAGCAGAUUUUUUUCCCCUCUACAAUAAAGCACGUGGACGUCUUUGGAUUGAGGAUGAAAUUAGAUAAAUAAAUAUAAGGAAGAAUAACCGAUA
This is a long non-coding RNA of Cephus cinctus (wheat stem sawfly), 1363 nucleotides long. RefSeq lists it as uncharacterized. The record is from RefSeq and is a predicted model, not a curated record. Lineage: Eukaryota; Metazoa; Arthropoda; Insecta; Hymenoptera; Cephidae. The transcript has 2 exons.